This 460-nucleotide ribosomal RNA is filed under the name uncultured bacterium. RNAcentral's name for it is "partial 16S ribosomal RNA". It matches the Rfam family "Bacterial small subunit ribosomal RNA", at positions 338 to 795 of the family's 1533-position model. The record is from RNAcentral.
CCUACGGGUGGCAGCAGUGAGGAAUAUUGGUCAAUGGACGCAAGUCUGAACCAGCCAUGCCGCGUGCAGGAUGACGGCUCUAUGAGUUGUAAACUGCUUUUGUACGAGGGUAAACCCCGAUACGUGUAUCUGGCUGAAAGUAUCGUACGAAUAAGGAUCGGCUAACUCCGUGCCAGCAGCCGCGGUAAUACGGAGGAUUCGAGCGUUAUCCGGAUUUAUUGGGUUUAAAGGGUGCGUAGGCGGUAUGAUAAGUUAGAGGUGAAAUGUCGGGGCGCAACCCCGAAACUGCCUCUAAUACUGGUGGACUAGAGAGUAGGUGCGGUAGGCGGAAUGUAUGGUGUAGCGGUGAAAUGCUUAGAGAUCAGACAGAACACCGAUUGCGAAGGCAGCUUACCAAACUAUAUCUGACGUUGAGGCACGAAAGCGUGGGGAGCAAACAGGAUUAGAUACCCGAGUAGUC